UACGGAGGGUGCAAGCGUUGCUCGGAAUUACUGGGCGUAAAGCGCGUGUAGGCGGUUUCGUGUGUCUGGCGUGAAAGCCCCGGGCUUACCCCGGGAAGUGCGUUGGAAACUGCGAAACUCGAGUCCCGGAGAGGAAGGUGGAAUUCCAGGUGUAGCGGUGAAAUGCGUAGAUAUCUGGAAGAACACCGGUGGCGAAGGCGGCCUUCUGGACGGUGACUGACGCUGAGACGCGAAAGCGUGGGGAGCAAACAGG
RNAcentral lists this ribosomal RNA (253 nucleotides) under uncultured bacterium. Its description in RNAcentral is "partial 16S ribosomal RNA". It matches the Rfam family "Bacterial small subunit ribosomal RNA", at positions 524 to 776 of the family's 1533-position model. The record is from RNAcentral.